GGUUAAGUUAACAAGGGCGCAUGGUGAAUGCCUUGGCACUAGGAGCCGAUGAAGGACGGGACUAAAACCGAUAUGCUUCGGGGAGCUGUACGUAAGCUAUGAUCCGGAGAUUUCCGAAUGGGGCAACCCAGCAGUUUUAAUCAACUGUUACCACUAGAUGAAUUCAUAGUCUAGUUGGAGGUAAACGCUGUGAACUGAAACAUCUCAUUAGCAGCAGGAAUAUAAAGAAAUUUCGAUUCCCUAAGUAGCGGCGAGCGAACGGGGAACAGCCCAAACCAAAGUGCUUGCACUUUGGGGUUGUAGGACUGAACAUUUGAGUUACCAAAGAACUUGAUAGUCGAAGGAUUUGGGAAAAUCCGCCAUAGAUGGUGAUAGCCCAGUAGAUUAAAUCAAAUUCUCUCAGUUCAGGAUCCUGAGUACGGCGGAACACGUGAAAUUCCGUCGGAAUCCGGGAGGACCAUCUCCCAAGGCUAAAUACUACCUAGUGACCGAUAGUGAACCAGUACCGUGAGGGAAAGGUGAAAAGCACCCCGGGAGGGGAGUGAAAUAGUUCCUGAAACCAUGUGCCUACAAUAAGUCAGAGCGCGUUAAUGCGUGAUGGCGUGCCUUUGUAGAAUGAACCGGCGAGUUAUGAUCCCGUGCAAGGUUAAGACUAAAAAGUCGGAGCCGUAGCGAAAGCGAGUCUGAAAUGGGCGAUUUGAGUACGAGGUUAUAGACCCGAAACCAGGUGACCUAUCCAUGUCCAGGUUGAAGGUGCGGUAAAACGCACUGGAGGACCGAACCCGUGUAAGUUGAAAAUUGCUGGGAUGAGGUGUGGAUAGCGGUGAAAUUCCAAACGAACUUGGAGAUAGCUGGUUCUCUCCGAAAUAGCUUUAGGGCUAGCCUCGGAUUAAGGAUCAUGGAGGUAGAGCACUAUUUGGACUAGGGGCCCGUCUUGGGUUACUGAAUUCAGAUAAACUCCGAAUGCCAUUGAUUCAUGUCCGGGAGUCAGACGAUGAGUGAUAAGAUCCACCGUCGAAAGGGGAACAGCCCAGACCAUCAGUUAAGGUCCCUAAAUGUAUGCUAAGUGGAAAAGGAUGUGGAGUUGCAUAGACAACUAGGAUGUUGGCUCAGAAGCAGCCACCAUUUAAAGAGUGCGUAAUAGCUCACUAGUCGAGUGAUCCUGCGCCGAAAAUGUACCGGGGCUAAGCAUACUACCGAAACCAUGGAUGCGACCAUUAGGUCGCGUGAUAGGAGAGCGUUCUAAGGGCGGUGAAGCAAGAUCGUGAGGACUUGUGGAGCGCUUAGAAGUGAGAAUGCCGGUAUGAGUAGCGAAAGAUAGGUGAGAAUCCUAUCCACCGAAUGACUAAGGUUUCCUGGGGAAGGCUCGUCCUCCCAGGGUUAGUCGGGACCUAAGUCGAGGCCGAGAGGCGUAGACGAUGGAUAACAGGUUGAGAUUCCUGUACUAGUUAAGUGCGUUUGAGCAAUGGAGGGACGCAGGAGGCUAAGAUGUGCAUUCUGUUGGAUUAGAAUGUCCAAGCAGUAAGUCUUGUGGAGAGUCAAAUGCUUUUCACUUUAAGGACAAGCUGUGAUGGGGAGCGAAAUUUAGUAGCGAAGCGUCUGAUGUCACACUGCCGAGAAAAGCUUCUAGUGAGUACUUAACUACCCGUACCGCAAACCGACACAGGUAGUCGAGGAGAGAAUCCUAAGGUGAGCGAGUGAACUCUCGUUAAGGAACUCGGCAAAAUGACCCCGUAACUUCGGGAGAAGGGGUGCUGAUCGCAAGAUCAGCCGCAGUGAAUAGGCCCAGGCGACUGUUUAUCAAAAACACAGGUCUCUGCAAAAUCGUAAGAUGACGUAUAGGGGCUGACGCCUGCCCGGUGCUGGAAGGUUAAAAGGAUGGGUUAGCUUCGGCGAAGCUCAGAAUUGAAGCCCCAGUAAACGGCGGCCGUAACUAUAACGGUCCUAAGGUAGCGAAAUUCCUUGUCGGGUAAGUUCCGACCCGCACGAAAGGCGUAACGAUCUGGGCACUGUCUCAACGAGAGACUCGGUGAAAUUAUAUUGUCCGUGAAGAUGCGGACUACCCGCGACAGGACGGAAAGACCCCAUGGAGCUUUACUGUAGCUUGAUAUUGAGUGUUUGUACAGCUUGUACAGGAUAGGUAGGAGCCAUAGAAACCGGAACGCUAGUUUCGGUGGAGGCGUUGGUGGGAUACUACCCUCGCUGUAUGACCACUCUAACCCGCACCACUAAUCGUGGUGGGAGACAGUGUCAGGUGGGCAGUUUGACUGGGGCGGUCGCCUCCUAAAAAGUAACGGAGGCGCCCAAAGGUUCCCUCAGAAUGGUUGGAAAUCAUUCGCAGAGUGUAAAGGCACAAGGGAGCUUGACUGCGAGACAGACAGGUCGAGCAGGGACGAAAGUCGGGCUUAGUGAUCCGGUGGUACCGUAUGGAAGGGCCAUCGCUCAACGGAUAAAAGCUACCCUGGGGAUAACAGGCUUAUCUCCCCAAGAGUCCACAUCGACGGGGAGGUUUGGCACCUCGAUGUCGGCUCAUCGCAUCCUGGGGCUGUAGUCGGUCCCAAGGGUUGGGCUGUUCGCCCAUUAAAGCGGUACGCGAGCUGGGUUCAGAACGUCGUGAGACAGUUCGGUCCCUAUCCGUCGCGGGCGUAGGAAAUUUGAGAGGACCUGUCCUUAGUACGAGAGGACCGGGAUGGACAUACCUCUGGUGUACCAGUUGUGCCGCCAGGCGCAUCGCUGGGUAGCUACGUAUGGAUGUGAUAAACACUGAAAGCAUCUAAGUGUGAAACACACCUCGAGAUGAGAUUUCCCAUUCCUUUAUGGAAGUAAGACCCCUGAAAGAUGAUCAGGUAGAUAGGUUAGAAGUGGCAGUGCGGUGACGCAUGAAGCGGACUAAUACUAAUCGGUCGAGGACUUAACCAA
RNAcentral lists this ribosomal RNA (2919 nucleotides) under Lactiplantibacillus pentosus. RNAcentral's name for it is "23S ribosomal RNA". It matches the Rfam family "Bacterial large subunit ribosomal RNA". Lineage: Bacteria; Bacillati; Bacillota; Bacilli; Lactobacillales; Lactobacillaceae. The record is from RNAcentral.